This 910-nucleotide ribosomal RNA is filed under the name uncultured bacterium. RNAcentral's name for it is "bacterial SSU rRNA". It matches the Rfam family "Bacterial small subunit ribosomal RNA", at positions 33 to 925 of the family's 1533-position model. The record is from RNAcentral.
ACGCUGGCGGCGUGCCUAAUACAUGCAAGUAGAACGCUGAAGAGAGGAGCUUGCUCUUCUUGGAUGAGUUGCAAACGGGUGAGUAACGCGUAGGUAACCUGCCUUGUAGCGGGGGAUAACUAUUGGAAACGAUAGCUAAUACCGCAUAACAAUAGGUGACACAUGUCAUUUAUUUGAAAGGGGCAAUUGCUCCACUACAAGAUGGACCUGCGUUGUAUUAGCUAGUAGGUGAGGUAACGGCUCACCUAGGCGACGAUACAUAGCCGACCUGAGAGGGUGAUCGGCCACACUGGGACUGAGACACGGCCCAGACUCCUACGGGAGGCAGCAGUAGGGAAUCUUCGGCAAUGGGGGCAACCCUGACCGAGCAACGCCGCGUGAGUGAAGAAGGUUCUCGGAUCGUAAAGCUCUGUUGUAAGUCAAGAACGAGUGUGAGAGUGGAAAGUUCACACUGUGACGGUAGCUUACCAGAAAGGGACGGCUAACUACGUGCCAGCAGCCGCGGUAAUACGUAGGUCCCGAGCGAUGUCCGGAUUUAUUGGGCGUAAAGCGAGCGCAGGCGGUUUGAUAAGUCUGAAGUUAAAGGCUGUGGCUCAACCAUAGUUCGCUUUGGAAACUGUCAAACUUGAGUGCGGAAGGGGAGAGUGGAAUUCCAUGUGUAGCGGUGAAAUGCGUAGAUAUAUGGAAGAACACCGGUGGCGAAAGCGGCUCUCUGGUCUGUAACUGACGCUGAGGCUCGAAAGCGUGGGGAGCGAACAGGAUUAGAUGCCCUGGUAGUCCACGCCGUAAACGAUGAGUGCUAGGUGUUGGAUCCUUUCCGGGAUUCAGUGCCGCAGCUAACGCAUUAAGCACUCCGCCUGGGGAGUACGACCGCAAGGUUGAAACUCAAAGGAAUUGACGGGGGCCCGCA